AAAAUCUUUGAUAUUAUCGGUACAUUUCAAAUCAGUGAUCAAGGCAAAUUCAAAGAUGAAAAAUCUAAGAAUGUUGCCCUUGAAAAAUACAUGCAUCUCAUCUUGAUUUUUUUUUCUCGAUCUCAAGCAUAAGUAGACACUAUGUAAUUUAUUCAAUGUAAUUGGACAAUGGGAUAUUGAGAUAACACCCAAAAAUUGUCUCAACAAAU
RNAcentral lists this long non-coding RNA (209 nucleotides) under Capsicum annuum. Its description in RNAcentral is "long non-coding RNA (CANN_LNC018484)". The record is from RNAcentral. Lineage: Eukaryota; Viridiplantae; Streptophyta; Magnoliopsida; Solanales; Solanaceae.